This 492-nucleotide ribosomal RNA is filed under the name uncultured Glomus. Its description in RNAcentral is "SSU rRNA". It matches the Rfam family "Eukaryotic small subunit ribosomal RNA", at positions 589 to 1083 of the family's 1831-position model. The record is from RNAcentral. Lineage: Eukaryota; Fungi; Glomeromycota; Glomeromycetes; Glomerales; Glomeraceae.
CUCCAAUAGCGUAUAUUAAAGUUGUUGCAGUUAAAAAGCUCGUAGUUGAAUUUCGGGAUCAAUACGUCGGUCGUGCUUCGGUACGUACUGGCGUCAUUGAUUUCUCCCUUCUGACGAACCAUGAUGUCAUUAACUUGGUGUCAUGGGAAAUCAGGACUGUUACUUUGAAAAAAUUAGAGUGUUUAAAGCAGGCUCACGCUUGAAUACAUUAGCAUGGAAUAAUGAAAUAGGACGUUCGAUCCUAUUUUGUUGGUUUUUAGGAUCAACGUAAUGAUUAAUAGGGAUAGUUGGGGGCAUUAGUAUUCAAUUGUCAGAGGUGAAAUUCUUGGAUUUAUUGAAGACUAACUACUGCGAAAGCAUUUGCCAAGGAUGUUUUCAUUAAUCAAGAACGAAAGUUAGGGGAUCGAAGACGAUCAGAUACCGUCGUAGUCUUAACCAUAAACUAUGCCGACUAGGGAUCGGAUGAUGUUAAUUUUUUAAUGACUCAUUCGG